This 565-nucleotide ribosomal RNA is filed under the name Vishniacozyma carnescens. RNAcentral's name for it is "eukaryotic LSU rRNA". It matches the Rfam family "Eukaryotic large subunit ribosomal RNA", at positions 99 to 654 of the family's 3401-position model. The record is from RNAcentral. Lineage: Eukaryota; Fungi; Basidiomycota; Tremellomycetes; Tremellales; Bulleribasidiaceae.
CGGGAUGAGCUCAAAUUUGAAAUCUGGCGUCUUUCAGGCGUCCGAGUUGUAAUCUAUAGAGGCGUUUUCCGCGCCGGACCGCGUCCAAGUCUCUUGGAAUAGAGUAUCAAAGAGGGUGACAAUCCCGUACUUGACGCGACAACCGGUGCUCUGUGAUACGUUCUCAAUGAGUCGAGUUGUUUGGGAAUGCAGCUCUAAAUGGGUGGUAAAUUCCAUCUAAGGCUAAAUAUUGGCGAGAGACCGAUAGCGAACAAGUACCGUGAGGGAAAGAUGAAAAGCACUUUGGAAAGAGAGUUAAACAGCACGUGAAAUUGUUAAAAGGGAAACGAUUGAAGUCAGUCGUGUGGGAAGUAUUCAGCCGUCUCUGGCGGUGUAUUUGCUUCUCACGGGUCAACAUCAGUUUGAUCCGGUAGAAAAAGGCGGGAAGAAGGUGGCACCCUCGGGUGUGUUAUAGCUUCCUGUCAUAUGUGCCGGACCAGACUGAGGAACGCAGCUUGCAGCAAUGCCGGGGUUCGCCCACGUACAAGCUUAGGAUGUUGACAUAAUGGCUUUAAACGACCCGUCU